This 253-nucleotide ribosomal RNA is filed under the name uncultured bacterium. RNAcentral describes it as "partial 16S ribosomal RNA". It matches the Rfam family "Bacterial small subunit ribosomal RNA", at positions 524 to 776 of the family's 1533-position model. The record is from RNAcentral.
UACGGAGGAUGCAAGCGUUAUCCGGAAUUAUUGGGUUUAAAGGGUCCGUAGGCGGGCUGGUAAGUCAGUGGUGAAAGUCUUCAGCUUAACUGGAGAAUUGCCGUUGAUACUGCUAGUCUUGAAUCAUUGUGAAGUAGUUAGAAUGUGUAGUGUAGCGGUGAAAUGCAUAGAUAUUACACAGAAUACCGAUUGCGAAGGCAAGCUGCUAAUGAUGUAUUGACGCUGAUGGACGAAAGCGUGGGUAGCGAACAGG